AUAUAUAUAUAUAUAUGUGUGUGUGUGUGUGUGUGUGUGUGUGUAUACAUACAUACUGACAUAAAAGCUUCAUGUGGAACCAAAU
Molecule: microRNA precursor, 85 nt
Filed under: Otolemur garnettii (small-eared galago)
Lineage: Eukaryota; Metazoa; Chordata; Mammalia; Primates; Galagidae
Description: miRNA (ENSOGAG00000024667.1)
Source: RNAcentral